GACGAACGCUGGCGGCGUGCUUAACACAUGCAAGUCGAACGGAAAGGCCCUGCUUUUGUGGGGUGCUCGAGUGGCGAACGGGUGAGUAACACGUGAGUAACCUGCCCUUGACUUUGGGAUAACUUCAGGAAACUGGGGCUAAUACCGGAUAGGAGCUCCUGCUGCAUGGUGGGGGUUGGAAAGUUUCGGCGGUUGGGGAUGGACUCGCGGCUUAUCAGCUUGUUGGUGGGGUAGUGGCUUACCAAGGCUUUGACGGCUAGCCGGCCUGGGAGGGUGACCGGCCACAUUGGGACUGAGAUACGGCGCAGACGCCUACGGGAGGCAGCAGUGGGGAAUAUUGCACAAUGGGCGGAAGCCUGAUGCAGCAACGCCGCGUGCGGGAUGACGGCCUUCGGGUUGUAAACCGCUUUCGCCUGUGACGAAGCGUGAGUGACGGUAAUGGGUAAAGAAGCACCGGCUAACUACGUG
RNAcentral lists this ribosomal RNA (468 nucleotides) under uncultured bacterium. Its description in RNAcentral is "partial 16S ribosomal RNA". It matches the Rfam family "Bacterial small subunit ribosomal RNA", at positions 28 to 507 of the family's 1533-position model. The record is from RNAcentral.